This is a long non-coding RNA of Juglans microcarpa x Juglans regia, 152 nucleotides long. RefSeq lists it as uncharacterized. The record is from RefSeq and is a predicted model, not a curated record. The transcript is spliced from 3 exons. NCBI's taxonomy places the organism in Eukaryota, Viridiplantae, Streptophyta, Magnoliopsida, Fagales, Juglandaceae.
UGAACAUAGUACAAAUAUAGAUACAACUCUUGGCAAAUUUAAGAAUUCUUGAGGUAAGCUUACUAAUUUGAUUUAAAAGUCUUGGUGGCUUACUUAGGACAUAAAUCUUAGGAAAACAUGUCUAAAACUAUAAACUUUAACUCCAUUAAUUU